UUCAAGCUGUCCAAAAAGAAUGCAUAUGUUUCUUUAAACUAUUCUCAAAUGUUUUUUUGUUUCAAUAUUUUCAAAUUACAUAACAAGUAAUACUAAAAAAUGCACAGGCACCAUAGCAAAACGCCUUACCAAAAAUUUGAGGCCUAAGGCGGCAGCCUACCCCUUAGAUCGGGCUGUAUGUGAAUUCUAAUUUAUUUAUUUUUGUAGUAUAAAAAUUAUUUUGUUUAUUAGUAGC
RNAcentral lists this long non-coding RNA (235 nucleotides) under Trifolium pratense (red clover). RNAcentral's name for it is "long non-coding RNA (TPRA_LNC014197)". The record is from RNAcentral. Lineage: Eukaryota; Viridiplantae; Streptophyta; Magnoliopsida; Fabales; Fabaceae.